ACAGCCCUGCCCACGGCCUUGGAGGAGGAACCGCUAUUUAAGAAGAAAUGCACAUUUUGCUCGAACCUAACAAUGCUUUGUCAUCUGUAAGGAACACCACACUGGUCGCCACAGCUGCAUUAAAAGAUGUCGUGUUACUUUCAGCACGAGGCAUAAAAUAAAGUCAAAAGUUAGGCAGCGUGAUGCUCGCUCCUCCCGAGAGGCUUGUUCAAGUGAGACAUCUCCCCUCGGAGGUUGACUAGAUCCAAAAGGCAGAGGGGCUGAGAGGAUUCUGAUUUUCGAGCCAUACCUUGUGCCAAGAUGCUGGCAGAAACCUGGAGUCUUAAGACAAUUGUGCUUACGUCUGGCUGUGACCUGGAGACCCAGCUACCCCAACAUCGCUCUCAGGUCCUGGAAUAGUCAAAUUCAUAGACACGAAGGAGAACAUGGGCUUCCCAGGUCGGUGUUUGCCGGGCAGCUUCAGUUUGGGAAGAUGAAGGGACCCGGUGUGGACCAUGGCGACUGCGGCACAGCGGUGACAGGAGCUCGGCACUGCUGACAAAUAGCUGAGGUGGGGACUGCUGUACCCGGUACACUUUCCCGUAGUCUUUAAAGUACUUUAUUAAUUUACUAAAAGACCUUUACACCCACCAGACUGUAAACCCCUGGAGAUGGGGACUCUUGCCUGGCCCGUCGCAGAACACACAGAAGUUGCUUGAACAGAAUCACUGUGUGAAUUAACAGUGAGUGUGUAGUUAGUAAAACCUAAAUCUGAAACCCCUGCACACCAGGGCACCCUCACUGCUGACGGAAGGAAAUGCGUCUCCUGCCCUUGCCCAGGACUUUCAGGGCCAGAUCAGCAGAGGGACCAGCUCAGAGAGACACACCGUGAGGGGCAGGUGGGUCGCAUGCAGGGAAAGCCCCUAAAACGGGCGUGUCCCCUCGUCCGCCCCAGAGCUCAGAACACUGUUGAGAACUCAACAAGGGAGGAAAGCCCUGGGCCCUGCAGUCAGCGCCUGGACCCAUGAGUCUAGCUUGGUGACCUUUUGCAGUGUGUGAGUUUGCCUGUAUCAAACAAAACGGGAGGUCGUGAGGCUGCUCAUGACAAUCUGAUUGAAUAGCGAGCGGAAAAUCAGGCUGUGUGUGGAGCGUCAAAUCUGCGGGGGUAGGUCCCUGUGUGAUUAUAAGGGACGUACUCGGGUGUGGGGGACAUCAGCAUCAACGCAGAGGCUGCUUCUGGGUCCUGGGUGGUAGCGAGGGUGGUGUCCUUCCUCCCACCCUUCUCGGGUGUUUCUGUUCCACAGUGACUGGGAGGAGCUGCGGCCUCACCAGAAAGGUUCACAACACUCAGCCUAUCUCUGGGUUGCAGGCUCCUGUCCCAAAGAGGACGGUGGGCAGCCACCACCCCCGAGUGUCAGGAGGAUGUAAUAAAAUGACGUGCACAGCGCAGAGCACCGUGCCAGGAACCCCACGGUGAAUUGCCAGAAAUGAAGGCGCAGAAAUGCACCGAGGCCUGGAAGGUUCGUGGCAGGGCAGAGGCCAAGGGUCCGGGUAGAGGCAGCCGUGCUGAGGUCAGUACUUUAUCCUGAGAAAUUCAGAAGAGGCAUUGCACCCUAGAUGGGACAUCCCUCUCCCCAAAAAUCUUCCACCAUGCCAGUAGCAGUUAACUAAUUUCCGAUAAGGUGCGACACUGUUCGUGGGGAACUCAGCGGCGCGUGGCCUGCUUGGUGGCAGAAAGCUGCACCUAUCGUCUCAGACUGUCCCAUGACACCCACCUGUGUGCUGUGGAGGGGUGAGGAGGCACAGAAAAGCGUGGAGCUGCGGGCAGGUGUUCUGGCUCCGUUUCUGUCCCCUUGGCCUGUGGUGCUACAGGACAGUGAAGCAAAAACCCAGGAAAAACACCCCCCACUUCCCUGCUGAUACUUUUACAGGGGUGCGCGGGGGCGAGGGAGCGGCCCCUGCAUGUCUCAGAAGCCCCUGGGACUUCCGCACAGAGUUGCUGGAGAUGAUACCAUGCUAUGACCGGCCGCUCAGGGAAGGAGAAACGUUCCCUGAGCCUCUUUCUUUCUUUCUUUCUUUUUUUUUUUUAUUGUUGGGGAUUCAUUGAGGGUACAAUAAGCCAGGUUACACUGAUUGCAAUUGUUAGGUAAAGUCCCUCUUGCAAUCAUGUCUUGCCCCCAUAAAGUGUGACAC
Long non-coding RNA from Nycticebus coucang (slow loris), 2172 nucleotides. RefSeq lists it as uncharacterized. Lineage: Eukaryota; Metazoa; Chordata; Mammalia; Primates; Lorisidae. The record is from RefSeq and is a predicted model, not a curated record. The transcript is spliced from 3 exons.